This 184-nucleotide unclassified non-coding RNA is filed under the name soil metagenome. RNAcentral describes it as "partial internal transcribed spacer 1". The record is from RNAcentral.
CCGAGUUUACAACUCCCAAACCCAAUGUGAACCAUACCAAACUGUUGCCUCGGCGGGGUCACGCCCCGGGUGCGUCGCAGCCCCGGAACCAGGCGCCCGCCGGAGGGACCAACCAAACUCUUUCUGUAGUCCCCCUCGCGGACGUUAUUUCUUACAGCUCUGAGCAAAAAUUCAAAAUGAAUCA